GACGAACGCUGGCGGCGUGCUUAACACAUGCAAGUCGAACGGAAAGGCCCUGCUUUUGUGGGGUGCUCGAGUGGCGAACGGGUGAGUAACACGUGAGUAACCUGCCCUUGACUUUGGGAUAACUUCAGGAAGCUGGGGCUAAUACCGGAUAGGAGCUCCUGCUGCAUGGUGGGGGUUGGAAAGUUUCGGCGGUUGGGGAUGGACUCGCGGCUUAUCAGCUUGUUGGUGGGGUAGUGGCUUACCAAGGCUUUGACGGGUAGCCGGCCUGUGAGGGUGACCGGCCACAUUGGUACUGAGAUACGGCCCAGACUCCUACGGGUGGCAGCAGUGGGGAAUAUUGCACAAUUGGCGGAAGCCUGAUGCAGCAACGCCGCGUGCGGGAUGACGGCCUUCGGGUUGUAAACCGCUUUCGCCUGUGACGAAGCGUGAGUGACGGUAAUGGGUAAAGAAGCACCGGCUAACUCCGUG
This 468-nucleotide ribosomal RNA is filed under the name uncultured bacterium. RNAcentral's name for it is "partial 16S ribosomal RNA". It matches the Rfam family "Bacterial small subunit ribosomal RNA", at positions 28 to 507 of the family's 1533-position model. The record is from RNAcentral.